RNAcentral lists this ribosomal RNA (905 nucleotides) under uncultured bacterium. RNAcentral describes it as "bacterial SSU rRNA". It matches the Rfam family "Bacterial small subunit ribosomal RNA", at positions 1 to 901 of the family's 1533-position model. The record is from RNAcentral.
CCCUUAGAGUUUGAUCCUGGCUCAGAACGAACGUUGGCGGCGUGGAUGAGGCAUGCAAGUCGCACGUGAAAGUCCUUCGGGACGAGUAAAGUGGCGGACGGGUGAGUAACACGUAACCAAGCUGCCCGCGAGACUGGGAUAACCGAGGGAAACUUCGGCUAAUACCGGAUGGCCUUGGGAAGGCGCAUGUUUUCCCAAGUAAAUGGGGGGGAUCCUUCGGGACCUCCUGCUCGCGGAGGCGGUUGCGGCCUAUCAGUUAGUUGGCGGGGUAAUGGCCCACCAAGGCGACGACGGGUAGCCGGCCUGAGAGGGUGGUCGGCCACAUGGGGACUGAGACACUGCCCCGACUCCUACGGGAGGCUGCAGUCGAGAAUCUUCCGCAAUGGGCGCAAGCCUGACGGAGCGACGCCGCGUGGAGGACGAAGGCCCUUGGGUUGUAAACUCCUGUCACGGGUUAUGAACGUGUAGAUGUUAACAGCGUCUGCAUUGACGUAAGCUCGAGAGGAAGCACUGGCUAACUCUGUGCCAGCAGCCGCGGUAAUACAGAGAGUGCAAACGUUGUUCGGAAUCACUGGGCAUAAAGCGUACGUAGGCGGCCUUUCAAGUGUGGAGUGAAAUCCCACGGCUCACCCGUGGAACUGCUUCGCAUACUGUUUGGCUCGAGGAUGGUAGAGGAGAGCGGAACUCCUGGUGGAGCGGUGAAAUGCGUAGAUAUCACGAGGAACACCGGUGGCGAAGCGCUCUCUGGUCCAUUCCUGACGCUGAGUACGAAAGCUAGGGUAGCGAACGGGAUAGAUACCCCGGUAGUCUAGCCGUAACGAUGGUACUACUAGAGUCAUUCCUGUGUGGUCUCUGGUGAGCAAUGUGCUAGUACCCCGCCUGGGGAGUAUGGUCGCAGCUAAACU